AGAGUUUGAUCAUGGCUCAGGAUGAACGCUGGCGGCGUGCCUAACACAUGCAAGUCAAGGGGCUCGUUGUAGCAAUACGGCGAGCCACUGGCGCACGGGUGAGUAACGCGUAGGUUAUCUACCCCCAACUCAGGCAUAACACCUCCAACGAGGUGCUAAUACCUGAUGAGGAGGCAGCUCCAAAGACCUUCGGGUCGGUUGGGGAUGAGCCUGCGUCCGAUUAGGUAGUUGGUAGGGUAAUGGCCUACCAAGCCGACGAUCGGUAGCUGGCCUGAGAGGGUGGUCAGCCACACUGGGACUGAGACACGGCCCAGACUCCUACGGGAGGCAGCAGUGAGGAAUAUUGGGCAAUGGGCGCAAGCCUGACCCAGCGACGCCGCGUGUGGGAUGACAGGGCUAUGCCUUGUAAACCACUGUCGGGUGGGACGAAAAGCGAGCUACGGCUCGCCGGGACGGUACCACCAAAGGAAGGGUCGGCUAACUACGUGCCA
Molecule: ribosomal RNA, 491 nt
Filed under: uncultured bacterium
Lineage: Bacteria
Description: bacterial SSU rRNA
Rfam family: Bacterial small subunit ribosomal RNA
Source: RNAcentral